RNAcentral lists this ribosomal RNA (250 nucleotides) under uncultured prokaryote. RNAcentral describes it as "partial 16S ribosomal RNA". It matches the Rfam family "Bacterial small subunit ribosomal RNA", at positions 524 to 773 of the family's 1533-position model. The record is from RNAcentral.
UACGUAGGGGGCAAGCGUUAUCCGGAUUUACUGGGUGUAAAGGGUGCGUAGACGGUUAGGCAAGUCUGAAGUGAAAGGCAUGGGCUCAACUCAUGAACUGCUUUGGAAACUGUCAGACUAGAGUGCAGGAGGGGUAAGCGGAAUUCCUGGUGUAGCGGUGAAAUGCUUAGAUAUCAGGAGGAACACCGGCGGCGAAGGCGGCUUACUGGACUGUAACUGACGUUGAGGCCCGAAAGCCAGGGGAGCGAAC